Oryzias sinensis (Chinese medaka) is the source of this 96-nucleotide microRNA precursor. The record is from Ensembl. NCBI's taxonomy places the organism in Eukaryota, Metazoa, Chordata, Actinopteri, Beloniformes, Adrianichthyidae.
GGUGUGUGUGUUGCAGCUGGUGUUGUGAAUCAGGCCGAUGACACACACCUCCUAAAAGCCGGCUAUUUCACAACACCAGGGUGGCACCGCAUCACU